Molecule: long non-coding RNA, 6050 nt
Organism: Orcinus orca (killer whale)
Lineage: Eukaryota; Metazoa; Chordata; Mammalia; Artiodactyla; Delphinidae
Exons: 4
Source: RefSeq, a predicted model, not a curated record
CCCGGCGCCGAUUGGCAGCGGGCGGGUGACGUGCGCGCGCCCGGGGGAUGCCGAGGGGGCGCGGGCGGCCGCGGGGACUGACGGGUAUCGAGGCCCGCCUCGAAAUCUCGAUGCUGGAGAGGGCUCUUGCGGUGGGCCUUUUACGUCUGUAGACGCUGGAGGUCCGCAGAAAGGAUACUGUGUCGGAGGAGGUAAAGCACAAGAGAGUGCUUUGUAACCGGGAAGUGCCUUUCAAAAGAGCUUACUUUUGGUUUGGUGGAAGAAGGACCCUGGAGCUUGUUGAUGCUGAAAAUGUUCAUCUCAGACGUCCUUGUCCUUGAGCCUGUUCUCUUGGGGAGAUGGCUGAGCACCUCCUGAUUUGCUCCUGCUACCUGGUAGAGACGGAACACCUGAUCAUGGGACAUCAAGUGACCAUGUGAAUAAUAAAACCACCCAUCAUGAACUGGUGUUAUCUGAUUCACCGAACCAUACAACUGGAUGAGCACAGAAGCAGUCUACUCCCUAUGAGACUGGGACAUGGCUACAAUUAAACUAAAUGAGCAGGUGACUCAGACUCCUAUAGUCCCUGACUCUACUCCUUCAGCACUUCCUCCCAAACCCAUAUAAAUUGGCUUCAUGAGGAGUUCUUUCUGACCAAUUAAUGGAAGAGAAAAAAGCAUGGGUCCUGUUUGUUCAUGGAAGAAUCUGCAGUGAGCUGGCAAUAGCUGGAUGUGAGUGGUCACUACACACCACCACCACUCAUUAGUGGCCCUGACCCAGAAUAGUAAAGGGAAAUCCUUCCAUAGGGAAGAAUUUUAGGAGACAUGGCCUGAGGUAAGGGUAUACACUGGUUUGUUGUCAGCGGCUUAUGAGUUGACAGGCUAGACAAAAACUUGGAGAGAACAAAUUGGAAAGCUGGUUCCAUUUAUGAGGCCAGCUGGGAUACAAUAACCUGCAAAUUGGGGAUGCUGACCUAAAGAAUUAAGUAUAUGCUUAAAAUCAGUAAUCAGUAUCUGGUGCCACCUUUCCCAAAAUGUAUGCAGAGUGGAGAUGAGAGUAGUCCCUCUAUUUUCAGUAUGACUAAUUUUGUAAAAAAAAAAACAAACAACUGGUGGCAUGUUUUCCAAACUUGGUGAAAAGCAUAAAACUACAAAUCCACAAAAGCUCAGUAAAUCACAAGCAGAAAAAUUGCAAUGAAAGUCACACCUAUGCAUGUUACAGUCAAACUGAUAAAACUAAUUCAGAAAAACACUUAAAAGCAUCCAGAGAAAUUAUACAUUAUACACAAGAUGGGAGUUAUAUGAAUUUUUUUAAAAGGAUGCAUAACAUAUAGAAAAAUGCACAAAUAUAAUUGUUCAGCAUGACUUGCCACAAAGUGAAGAUAACUAUGUAAUCACCACCCACAUCAAUAACUAUGUCCCUUAGUCAUUGCUCUUCUUCCUUCCCAAAGGUAAUCAUCAUCCUGAAUUCUAACACCAAAGAUUAGGUUUGACAGUGGUUAACCUUUAUAUAAAUUGAAUACAUGACAGUGGUUAACUUUUAUAUAAAUUGAAUAAUGUAUUCUUUAGUGUCUGGCUUUUAUUUAACGUUGUGAGAUUCAUCCAUGUUGUUACCUGGAGCAGUUGUUCAUUCAUUUUCAUUGCUAUACAGUAUUCUACUUUAUAAAUAUACCACAUUUAUUUAUCCAUUUUACUGUUGAUAAACAUCAGAGAUGUUUCCUUUUUUUUUUUUUUUUUGCGUUACGCGGGCCUCUCACUGUUGUGGCCUCUCCCGUUGUGGAGCACAGGCUCCAGACAGGCAGGCUCAGCGGCCGUGGCUCACGGGCCCAGCCGCUGCGCGGCAUGUGGGAUCUUCCUGGACCGGGGCACGAACCCGUGUCCCCUGCAUCGGCAGGCGGACUCUCAACCACUGCGCCACCAGGGAAGCCCCGAUGUUUCCAUUUUUGGGCUACUAGGAGGAGAGCUGCUGUGAACAUUGUUGUGUAUGUCUUUGGGUGUACAUACGUAUGCAUUUGUGUUGGGUUCUUUUAUUAUGCCUAAUAAACCACUUGAGGAAUUUUUUGGUCCCUGAAACUUCAGACUUAGUGGUUUUGGAGGUUUUAGUACUCAAGGGAGGAAUGCUUCCUAGGAAACAUGGUUUCAGUGAAUUAGAAGUGGACAGUGCUUGCUGGCAGGUUUGGGCUUUUUCUAUCACUAAUCAACAGAGAGAGGAGGGAGGGGAUCACUACUGCCAAGGGUGAAAGAUUCCUUUUAACAGGGGGAAAUUGGAUUGCUGCUACACAGUGGAGUAAGUAGGACUAUAUAUGGAAUGUAUGAUAUUCACCAAGAUUGCUUCUUAGUAUUUUCUUGGCUGAUAGUCCAAUAAGAAAACUAGAGAACCCAAAAAGGACCUCCACUAAGAUUCAUCUUAUACGAAUGAAUGUUUGGGUCGCCACACGUGGUAAAGAACUCCAUUCAAUUUAGGUGCAAGCUGAGUGGGAGAAACCUAGAAUGGGUGGUGAAAGAAAGCAGCUAUGCUUAUGAACCUAGUCCUCAUGACCAGCUAAAACACAGGUUUUAUGAAACUAUGAUUAUGUUUUGUUACUUGUUUCUUUUCUCCCCUACCAAGUAUGAAAAAUUCUGGGGUGGAUAAUGUUUUUGGCUUCCGAUGAGAGUAUGACUGAAUUGACACCCCAUGAUCACAUUGUAGCUGAUGGAAGGAGACUGUGGUGGAAAAGAGUGAGAUGAGCAUUUAUAUUCCUCCUGGCUCCUGCCAUUAGAGGUUGCCUUGAACUGGAUGUGUACCUUGACCAAAGGUCAUUGCCUCUCUCACGAUGAACUCUUCACAGUUCUCUCUCCUUCGAGACUGCUUAACUUCUUCUGUCUCUUGGAGAUUAAGGGAGGUAUAGUUCUCCUGCUGUUAGCCCUGGGUUACAGAACUAUCCUUGUAAUUCUCAUAUCCUAUACACAAAUUUGUAAUUAGUCCCUCUCUUUAAAAAAAAGAAACAAAACAGCUUCCUUAAAUGAUCUUGAGUGCGUCAUUUUUUUAAAAUUUAUUUUAUUUGGUUGUGCCGGGUCUUAGUUGUGGCAGGCAGGCUCCUUAGUUGUGGCAUGCGAACUCUUAGUUGCGGCAUGCAUGCGGGAUCUAGUCCCCUGACCAGAGAUAGAACCCCGCCCUCCUGCAUUGGGAGCGUGGAGUCUUAACCACUGUGCCACCAGGGAAGUCCCUUGAGUGUAUCAUUUGUUUCCUGUUAGGACUCUUGACACAUGAGUUUUUUAUCCUUGUAUUGCUUCUUGCCUAAAAUCUACUUCGAUAUUAGCAUAGCGACAGUCUUUGUUCGUUUUUGCAUAUUUUUCCACUUUAAACUUUCUGCAUUCUAAUAUUUAAGGGUUGUCUCUUGAAAACAGGUUAAAGGUGUAUCUUUAUAAAUCCAAGGCAACAGUCUUGACUUUUAAUUGGGGUAAUCAAUUUACACUUAAUGUAAUUACUGAUACAUCGGGCUUUAAAGCUGCUAUCCUACUGUUUCUUGUCUCCCCUGUUCUUCACUCUUUUUUCUCUACUUUCUUUAUCCUUUGGGAUAGAUCAGGUUUUUUUAUUCCACCUUUUCCUUUUGAUUGGCUUCUUAGCUAUAUGUUCUUUUACUAUUCUUUAAUUAAUUACUCUAGAAAUUAGAAUGUGCAUACUGGACAUCUAAAAGUCUAGUAUAUACUAGUACUUUAUCCACUUCCAAGACAGUGUGAACACCUUAGACCACUUUAUCCUCUCCUCUCAAUUUAUGUGGUGUUAAUGUUUUAAAUCUGUAUGUUUUUAACACCACAGUAUAUCAGCAUUGUUUUGUAAAAUUAAUAUUCAUUGAGAUUUACCCAUGUAUUUUCUUUUUCAUUGUUCUUCAUCCCUUUCAGAGCUUCCAUCUGAGAUCAUUUCUCUCUGCUCGAAGGCUGCUCUUUCCUCCAAGGCAGAGAUGCUGGUGACAAAUUCUCAUUUUCUGUUUGUUUGAAAAUACCUUUAUAUUGUCUUAACUUUUGAAAGUUAUAUUAUCUGAGUAUGAAUUCUAAGUUGGCAACAUUUUAUUUUAUUUUACUCUGAAGAUAGCACCAUUUGGUUGCAAAGCAGCUGUCUUAUUGUCAUUCAUUUGAUACAAUACUUUGUUUCUUACCUAUGGAUGCUCAACACUUCCUCUCUCUGGUUUUCAGCAGUUUUAAUAUGAAGUGCUUAGGUAUUGUUUUCUUUGCCUUUUCCUUAAGGUUUAUAGUGCUUCUUGAAUCUGAGGCAUGAUGCUUUUUGUUUGAGACAUCUCUUCCAGUAUCACUUUGUUACAGUCUCUCAUGCUUUUCCUUCUGGGUCUUAAUUAUACCUACAUUUGGGACUUCCCUGGUGGCGCAGUGGUUAAGAAUCCACCUGUCAAUGCAGGGGACACGGGUUUGAGCUCUGGUUCGGGAGGAUCCCACAUGCCGUGGAGCAGCUAAGCCUGUGCACCACAACUACUGAAGCCCAUGCGCCUAGAGCCCAUGCUCUGCAACAAGAGAAGCCACCGCAAUGGGAAGCCCAUGCACCACAACGAAGAGUAGCCCCUGCUCGCCGCAACUAGAAAAAGCCUGCAUGCAGCAACGAAGACCCAAUGCAGCCAAAAAUUUAAAAAAAAAAAAAAUUAAACCUACGUUAGACUUUUUUACUCUAUCUCUUCUACUUUUUAAAUUUUUUCCAUUUUUCAUCCUUUAAUCUCUUUGUUAAUCUGUGUGCAUAUUUUCUUCUGAAUUUUCUUCCAAUUCUCCAAUUUUGUCUUCAGCUCUGUGUAAUUGGCUAUUAAAUGCAUUCACUGGGUUUUUAAUUUGUUAUAUCUUUCAAUAAUAGAAUUCCAUUUGGUUUUGUUUCCAUUCUCUACAAUCAUUCUUAGUCCUAUAUUUUAAGUUCCUAAACAUAUUAAUCAUAGUAUAUAUGUUUUUUUUCUUUUAGCCACGCCACGUGGCUUGUGGAAUCUCAGUUCCCUGACCAGGGAUUGAACCCGAGCCACUGCAGUGAAAAAUGCCGAGCCCUAACCACUGGACUGCCAGGGAAUUCCCUAAUCGUAGUAUUUUGAAGUCUUCAUUUCAUAAUCCCUGUGGGUCCUGUUUCUGUGGUUGCUUCUCUGUCUUGUCAUAUCGUCUCAUACAGCUGAUUAUGGUUUUCUGUGUACAGGAUAUUACAUAUAAAAUAUUGUAUAGAUAUUUUGACGCUCUGGAUAGCAUUACUUUCUUUUAGAGAGGAUUUCUUUUACUUCAGUUAGGCAGCUAGGGCCAUUAGUACCCUCAGAUCACUACAAUCCAGUUGGGACCUGAGAUGAUUCAGUCCCUGCCAGUUCCAAUCUAUUUUCAGUUCACUCUGACUCCUAGGGUACAGCACAUUAGAAUCUCAACAGUAAGACUGAGGUGUUUAUCUCUUUCUUGGUGAGCCCAACUCUAGUUUUUCUCCCUUUCCACCCACACCUAGGCCUGUGAACUUGAAAAAGCUCUGUUCACCUUCUUAGCUGCUUUUGGAAGAGACAGAUGCCUCCAGCAGAGAUGCUACAAGCAUCUCCAACCUGUCUUCAUCUACUAGAACUUGGCCCUGAAAUCCUCACCAUUUUGGUAGCUUUCCAGUGCCUUUAAACAGAUGUAUUUUUUUUGUUUUGGCUCAGCUUUUCUAGUUGUUCUCAGCAGAAGCAUGAUCAAAACCAUCUAGUUCUUCGUUACCAGAAGUGGAACUGAAGAGGACUCUUUUUUUUUUAAACUGAGUACACGGGCCUCUCACUGUUGUGGCCUCUCCCGUUGCGGAGCACAGGCUCCGGACGCACAGGCUCAGCGGCCAUGGCUCACGGGCCUAGCUGCUCUGCGGCAUGUGGGAUCUUCCCGGACGGGGGCAUCGGCAGGGGGACUCUCAACCACUGCGCCACCAGGGAAGCCCAACUAAUUUGAUUUUUAUGCAAAUAAUAUGAAAAACGUUUGGUUGAGUUGGGUUCCAUAUUUCCUAUUCCAAGUGAAUUUGUAAACAUGCAUUUUGUAUAUUCAUAGUUUUAUAUUAAAUCUGGACCGUAGCAUUUAUAAUGUAAUUAAAUUAAUAAAAUGGCAUAAACUGUG